RNAcentral lists this transfer RNA (76 nucleotides) under Cyanobacteria bacterium REEB67. Its description in RNAcentral is "tRNA-His". It matches the Rfam family "tRNA". From Rfam's summary of the family: Transfer RNA (tRNA) molecules are approximately 80 nucleotides in length. Their secondary structure includes four short double-helical elements and three loops (D, anti-codon, and T loops). Further hydrogen bonds mediate the characteristic L-shaped molecular structure. tRNAs have two regions of fundamental functional importance: the anti-codon, which is responsible for specific mRNA codon recognition, and the 3' end, to which the tRNAs corresponding amino acid is attached (by aminoacyl-tRNA synthetases). tRNAs cope with the degeneracy of the genetic code in two manners: having more than one tRNA (with a specific anti-codon) for a particular amino acid; and 'wobble' base-pairing, i.e. permitting non-standard base-pairing at the 3rd anti-codon position. Lineage: Bacteria; Bacillati; Cyanobacteriota. The record is from RNAcentral.
GCAGGUGUAGCCAAGUGGUUAAGGCACUGGUUUGUGGUACCGGCAUGCGCGAGUUCGAAUCUCGUCAUCUGCCCCA